GAAAUGCGAUAAGUAGUGUGAAUUGCAGAAUUCAGUGAAUCAUCGAAUCUUUGAACGCACAUUGCGCCCCUUGGUAUUCCAUGGGGCAUGCCUGUUCGAGCGUCAUUUGUACCCUCCAGCUCUGCUUGGUGUUGGGUGUUUGUCCCGUCUCCGCGCGUGGACUCGCCCCAAAGUGAUUGGCAGCCGGCGUACUGGUCCCGGAGCGCAGCACAUGUCGCGCAAACGAGUGCCUUGGUACGGCGGCGUCCAUAAGCCCCUCUCUCACGCUCUUGACCUCGGAUCAGGUAGAGAUACCCGCUGAACUUAAGC
This 309-nucleotide unclassified non-coding RNA is filed under the name plant metagenome. Its description in RNAcentral is "partial contains 5.8S ribosomal RNA, internal transcribed spacer 2, and large subunit ribosomal RNA". The stretch from base 1 to 105 matches the Rfam family "5.8S ribosomal RNA", at positions 50 to 154 of the family's 154-position model. The record is from RNAcentral.